AUGAUGAUUGUAGGAGAGACUAAACGACGCGUUUAGCACCGAAGGAGCAAGUCCCAUAAAACCCUUGGGAUUAAUCUCUCAGGUACCAGAUACUACAAUCGGACG
RNAcentral lists this non-coding RNA (105 nucleotides) under Brevibacillus parabrevis. RNAcentral describes it as "Glycine sequence". It matches the Rfam family "Glycine riboswitch aptamer". Rfam says of the family: This family represents the bacterial glycine riboswitch. Glycine riboswitches usually consist of two metabolite-binding aptamers domains with similar structures in tandem. The aptamers cooperatively bind glycine to regulate the expression of downstream genes. Lineage: Bacteria; Bacillati; Bacillota; Bacilli; Caryophanales; Paenibacillaceae. The record is from RNAcentral.